This 499-nucleotide ribosomal RNA is filed under the name uncultured bacterium. Its description in RNAcentral is "partial 16S ribosomal RNA". It matches the Rfam family "Bacterial small subunit ribosomal RNA", at positions 28 to 507 of the family's 1533-position model. The record is from RNAcentral.
GACGAACGCUGGCGGCGUGCCUAAUACAUGCAAGUCGAGCGGACUUUCAAGAAGCUUGCUUUUUGAAAGUUAGCGGCGGACGGGUGAGUAACACGUGGGCAACCUGCCUGCAAGACGGGGAUAACUCCGGGAAACCGGGGCUAAUACCGGAUAAUAUCUUCCUUCGCAUGAAGGAAGGUUGAAAGGCGGCGCAAGCUGCCGCUUGCAGAUGGGCCCGCGGCGCAUUAGCUAGUUGGUGAGGUAACGGCUCACCAAGGCGACGAUGCGUAGCCGACCUGAGAGGGUGAUCGGCCACACUGGGACUGAGACACGGCCCAGACUCCUACGGGAGGCAGCAGUAGGGAAUCUUCCGCAAUGGACGAAAGUCUGACGGAGCAACGCCGCGUGAGCGAAGAAGGUCUUCGGAUCGUAAAGCUCUGUUGUCAGGGAAGAACAAGUACCGUUCGAACAGGGCAGUACCUUGACGGUACCUGACCAGAAAGCCACGGCUAACUACGUG